This is a non-coding RNA of Triticum urartu, 4052 nucleotides long. The record is from RefSeq and is a predicted model, not a curated record. NCBI's taxonomy places the organism in Eukaryota, Viridiplantae, Streptophyta, Magnoliopsida, Poales, Poaceae.
GCGGCCCAAACCCAGUCCCCACCCCCCUAUUCCUCUCCCUCUCCCUCUCCCUCAUCUGCCGCCGCCACCGGCGCCCUCCGCGCAGCAACCACCGCCACCACUUCACCCAGGUGUGGCGCUGCUCUUCCCCACGACCCUGACGGCAAGGCAGCGACAAGAGCAUCAGAGCCACUUUUGGCCUCCCCACGCUGGCCUGCGCAUCUCCGCCCCCCGCUUUGCCUCCUCCACCACCGGCUCCUAGCGAGGCGGGAACGAAGCCAACAUCGCCCUCCCAGCGCCCUUGAUUCGGAGGCAACAGAGGAUAGCCCGCGGGCGAGCUCAAGCUGGAGGCAGUGCUGCAUUGACAUAUCCAACCAUCCUAUAUGUCCACUUUUGGUCCAUUAUUUCUGUACACCAGUCAUUUGAUGAAUUGCUAUAAGAAACUGUAUGAAGUGUUUUGCUGUAUGUUUGAAGCAGGUAAGGCAUGAUGUAGCUAUACUUUUGAAAAUCACUCAUGAUUGUCCCGAGUCCCUGGCAAUGAAUCAUGUGGUGAUGCAAAUUUCUGCUGUCCCUGCCAUUCACACUGACGAAAGCUUGUUGGAGUGUCUUCAACCUUGUCGAUGUUCAGUGAGCGAAAAUUUGGAUUCCUCCAUUCUCGUGCAUACCACCUUGCAGAAUUGAAUAGUGAUUCCCGGUCUCCACUUCAGAUCUAUUAUAUGGAUGCAGAACAUAUGCCAAGAUGUUUAAAGUAUUGUGGUUGCGCCAUAGAAGUCUUUCUUGCUGUGAACCUAAUUUGGAAUCCAGUGUUUCUGUCUCUAUUUGCUUGUUCUAAAUUCGAGAGUCUUUUGAAUUUCAGAGUAUCGAUCAAUCAUUUAAAGCAGUGAUUACAUACUUAUCCAGAAAGUGGUACUCUCGUUCUGCCUUAUUUUGGAGGAACAUAAGGCAAGUUUCUAUUAAUACCCUCCAACUAAUGGCAAGAAGUUUUGAUCAGUUUCAUAAACUCCCUAUAUUUCUAGCUCCAGACCAUGAUUUUCUGUGCUCAUAUUUUUUAUGUAUUGUUUAUUAGUCAUACAUACAUUCUACUCACUAGGGUUUGAUCUUUUCUUCCCUUAUAUGAAUGAAAGGUCAGAUCGAAUUGGGAUGACUUUCUCCACGUCAUUAAGGAUCUUCUAUUACCAAGCAUGGGUCAUCUUCUUUUGACAAUUGGUAAUGUUUGCACUUCGCAGUAAAUUGGGCAUAUUCACUGGUUCUUCCUCCUACAAUGGUGCAUGUACAAAUUUUAAUAAUUCUGUGUGCUAGCCAGUAAACUUCCAGUGUUUACUUUCUCAGACUUCUCACUAGCUUAUGUUGUCUGUUACAUUGAAGCGGUUUGAAAAAGCAAGCAAAUUGUUCGAGCCUACCUAUUUAUAUGGUGUGGAGAAGGUAAGGUUCUUGGCUUAUUGAUAUCAUCUGGUCAUUUUUAUUGAUGCGGGACUACUUAAUGAACUUCCUAGCUCUGGCAGUGACAGCAAGAAAAUAAGCUUCUUUAAUGAGGUGUGUCUUCUGUUGUAUCCUUGAAAUAUUUCACGACAUACGUUGAAUGGAUGAUAGAUCUCAUAAUUGCAAGGGAUAUUUACUAACAAACUACCAAAAAUAUAUAGUUGCUUUAUUGUGACAAUUUUUUAUAUAAAAGGCACAUGUGAGCUUGGUUAGUAGUUUUCUGUUGGAAGUCCAUGGGAUUUCAUAUGCACAAGUAGAUGUAUUGUUUCUUUCAUAUGCAUGAACUAUCCAGAAUACUGGAUUAUUCUCUUUGUUUCAAGUUUGCUGUUCUUUUCGAGAUUAAACCCAUGGUGAACAAUUGGGAUUAUAUAUAACCGAAAUAGGUUUGAUUCGCAAACACUGAAGCAUGUUUGGUUUCAAAUGUGUCUUUGCUUAGUGCAGGUCUUACAAAUUAGUUCUGAAAGUAGGCUUCAAUCCACCAAGAUCUCGAUGGAGCUCGAACAUUGAUGUAACUUGUCUCUUGAUAUAAUGUGAGACGAAUAUCAAAUCUUAAAUUGUAGUGCAAGCAUGUAUCAUCUACAAAUACUAUGUGGUAGAAAUAAUGAUGAGAGGAUGUCUAUUGUGCUUCUUUUAUGUUGCAAUGGAACUUCUAUUUCUAUCUAUGUACUCCAGAUAGCCUCCACUGUACCUAUCACUUGUGACCGAGGACAAUUCCACGUGUACUAAAAUUUCUUGUGCUAUCACUUAGAUUUGUGUUCCGUGCCACUCUAAUCUUCUACCUAUGCAAUCUCAGCAGCUUCUCAUGUAUGAAUAAUUACUUGCAUAUACUGUUUAGAUCUUAUGGUCAAGUUGGUUAUACAUUUUGGUUUGACAAGUGGUGCGGCGCUUUUCCAAUCUAACGGAAAAUCAUGUAUAUGUAACCAACAAGAACAAAUUAUCUCCUGGAAGAAACUUUUUUCUUACCUGUAGUUGUUUUGUUUAUAGAAAUAAUGCAUUUACCAUUUGUCGUAACAAACAUUUUUAUUUUUUGGUAUGCAUGGUUUCAGCCUUUGGUGCUCAAUUCUGUAAUUGAUAAUUCGCAUAAUAUAUAGAAAUUUUCCUAAAAAGUUUUCAGAUGUUAUUAUAAAUCUUAAACCUACUAUCCUCUGUUGAUUGCUCUGCGGUGUAUUACUGAUUUUGCAUGUUGCAAGGAGCAGGAACCGACGCUGUCUAGGAGGUAGCCGAAGAGGGGUUCAUCUGCGUGUUUGCUUUGUUUCCUGAUGGCUACCAUGAGGUUGGUGUUAAGUGAGCACGAAGUUGUCAUCAUUCGUGAAUCAUCUGUUUCGUCUUCGUUUCGUCCAGCUUGACCUUCAUCCGUCGUCAAGGUAGGAUUCCUCAUGUGUUCAUCCAUAUAUAUAUAAAGCACACUCAUGGUGUCGUGGCUCGUGCGUGACCUACCACUGGAGGUACACAAAGUUCCUCAGCCUGAAUCGAGAUGCCACUGCUGAACAAUUGGCUCAUGACACCCUUGUCUGUGAGAUUUCUGAAGAUCAUUUGCCCAUAAAGAUUUCUGAAUGUCUUUGAAUAUUGAGUUUCUUAAAGCUUUGUUCUGCCUGUGUAUAGAACACAUGAAGUGAGAGUCUCUGAUCAAGGAGUAGGCUAUUCUGCAGGACAAGAGGCUGCUUGAAUGUGACUAAUUGCAGAAGAAUUUUGGAUAGGAUUAGUGCUCGGCAAUUGGUAUUACCAGGCUGGCGAGCGCAGAUUUCAGCCUCUUUGUUGAGGCUUGCGGUGGUUAGUCUGGGAUGAGCUCCAGGGAUGGGUCAUUUCAUAUCUGUCCUUUUCUUUGAUUUCUUUUUGGUUCCUGCUCUGUAAGGUGAUUCUCGACUGAAAUUACCAAUGAAGGUAAUUAUGGUCUACCACAACUAUCAAUCCAUAUUUUAACUUGGAGUUGAACACCUGCACAAUAGUAUAAAGUUUCCACGUUCUGGUUGUAAUAGGAUAUAUCAGGGCAUUUUGAAAAGCCAAUCCAUUAUCAUGGUACCAUGGAACAAACAAAUAGCUACCUCACUUUUUGGUCUUUUCAUGAAAGCUUUGGGUUGGGAGGUGUGUUGCAUCCAAGUUGUAUUUCUUCAUUGAUUCUCAUCUCAGUUUCUCUCUGCUUAAUGUGUGGGAAUUAGACAACAUGUGCUGAAAAUGAUUGCUGGUCAAUCUAGCAUGGAAUUGUGUGUAACUUAACAUUAUAGUUACAUCAAUGGUCUUUUAUUUUGUACUUGUCAUACAGUUUGUAUCAACCUACAUCCUGCUACUUUGAUGUACAAAUACAUUUCCAUAGUUUUUAGCUCACGUUGUAUACUGGUAAUUUGAUUGCUCUGAUAUUGUUUCAGGAUAAACAACCCUGUAGAGCUUGCGGCUGUAGGUGUAUAUAUUGUUGUGUAUAGUAAGUUUUUGAGUCUGAACAUUUUCCGCUGCAAACGCUGGGGAGUGUCUCAAUUAUCGAAAACAUGAAAGUCUGUUGCUAAAUAGGUUAUAUUUGCUUUCUGUAGCCAUCAUAUGAAAAAUGUAUUAAAGAACUGAGCAUUAUUUCUUAUGGAAUGGCAUAUUGUUAUUCAUGUGUA